GGCGGGGUGCUAGAGAGGUUUAAUAGGCUGGUCUUGAAAACCAGAAGGGGUGCAAGCCCCUCGUGAGUUCGAAUCUCACCCCCGCCG
Molecule: transfer RNA, 87 nt
Filed under: bacterium
Lineage: Bacteria
Also listed under: 1 other name
Description: tRNA-Ser
Rfam family: tRNA
About the family: Transfer RNA (tRNA) molecules are approximately 80 nucleotides in length. Their secondary structure includes four short double-helical elements and three loops (D, anti-codon, and T loops). Further hydrogen bonds mediate the characteristic L-shaped molecular structure. tRNAs have two regions of fundamental functional importance: the anti-codon, which is responsible for specific mRNA codon recognition, and the 3' end, to which the tRNAs corresponding amino acid is attached (by aminoacyl-tRNA synthetases). tRNAs cope with the degeneracy of the genetic code in two manners: having more than one tRNA (with a specific anti-codon) for a particular amino acid; and 'wobble' base-pairing, i.e. permitting non-standard base-pairing at the 3rd anti-codon position.
Source: RNAcentral